GAUCAUGGCUCAGGAUGAACGCUAGCUACAGGCUUAACACAUGCAAGUCGAGGGGCAGCAUGAAACUUAGCUUGCUAAGUUUGAUGGCGACCGGCGCACGGGUGAGUAACACGUAUCCAACCUACCGUUUACUACGGGAUAGCCUUCUGAAAAGGAGAUUAAUACCGUAUGGUAUUCUAAAGUUUCAUGACAUUAGAAUUAAAGGUUUACCGGUAAUCGAUGGGGAUGCGUUCCAUUAGAUAGUAGGCGGGGUAACGGCCCACCUAGUCAGCGAUGGAUAGGGGUUCUGAGAGGAAGGUCCCCCACAUUGGAACUGAGACACGGUCCAAACUCCUACGGGAGGCAGCAGUGAGGAAUAUUGGUCAAUGGGCGAGAGCCUGAACCAGCCAAGUAAGCGUGAAGGAUGACUGCCCUAUGGGUUGUAAACUUCUUUUAUAAAGGAAUAAAGUGGUCCACGUGUGGAUUUUUGUAUGUACUUUAUGAAUAAGGAUCGGCUAACUCCGUGCCAGCCGCAGC
This 516-nucleotide ribosomal RNA is filed under the name uncultured bacterium. RNAcentral describes it as "bacterial SSU rRNA". It matches the Rfam family "Bacterial small subunit ribosomal RNA", at positions 15 to 518 of the family's 1533-position model. The record is from RNAcentral.